GAGUUUGAUCAUGGCUCAGAUUGAACGCUGGCGGCAUGCCUUACACAUGCAAGUCGAACGGCAUCACGGGAGCUUGCUCCUGGUGGCGAGUGGCGAACGGGUGAGUAAAACAUCGGAACGUACCCUGAAGUGGGGGAUAACGUAGCGAAAGUUACGCUAAUACCGCAUAUUCUGUGAGCAGGAAAGAGGGGGAUCGCAAGACCUCUUGCUUUAGGAGCGGCCGAUGUCGGAUUAGCUAGUUGGUGAGGUAAAGGCUCACCAAGGCGACGAUCCGUAGCGGGUCUGAGAGGAUGAUCCGCCACACUGGGACUGAGACACGGCCCAGACUCCUACGGGAGGCAGCAGUGGGGAAUUUUGGACAAUGGGCGCAAGCCUGAUCCAGCCAUGCCGCGUGAGUGAAGAAGGCCUUCGGGUUGUAAAGCUCUUUCGGUGGGGAAGAAAUUGCUUCGGCUAAUACCUGAAGUAGAUGACGGUACCCGCACAAGAAGCACCGGCUAACUACGUGCCAGCAGCCGCGGUAAUACGUAGGGUGCGAGCGUUAAUCGGAAUUACUGGGCGUAAAGCGUGCGCAGGCGGUUGUAUAAGUCAGAUGUGAAAUCCCCGGGCUCAACCUGGGAACUGCAUUUGAAACUGCCAUGCUUGAGUAUGGG
RNAcentral lists this ribosomal RNA (650 nucleotides) under uncultured beta proteobacterium. RNAcentral describes it as "bacterial SSU rRNA". It matches the Rfam family "Bacterial small subunit ribosomal RNA", at positions 9 to 652 of the family's 1533-position model. Lineage: Bacteria; Pseudomonadati; Pseudomonadota; Betaproteobacteria. The record is from RNAcentral.